CGGUACUUCCAGAAAGAAGGCCCGGCCCAACUACGUGCCAGCAGCCGGCGGUAAUACGUAGGGCCCAAACUUUGUCCGAAUUUAUUGGGCGUAAAGGGCUCGUAGGCGGUUCAACAAGUCGGUCGUGAAAGCCCGGGGCUCAACCCCGGGACGCCGGUCGAAACUGUUGUGACUAGGGUCCGGUAGAGGUGAGUGGAAUUCUCGGUGUAGCGGUGGAAUGCGCAGAUAUCGAGAGGAACACCAGUAGCGAAGGCGGCUCACUGGGCCGGUACCGACGCUGAGGAGCGAAAGCAUGGGGAGCAAACAGGAUUAGAUACCCUGGUAGUCCAUGCCGUAAACGAUGAACACUAGGUGUGGCGGACUCAUUGACGUCUGCCGUGCCGAAGCUAACGCAUUAAGUGUUCCGCCUGGGGAGUACGGCCGCAAGGCUAAAACUCAAAUGAA
This 444-nucleotide ribosomal RNA is filed under the name uncultured Actinomycetes bacterium. RNAcentral's name for it is "bacterial SSU rRNA". It matches the Rfam family "Bacterial small subunit ribosomal RNA", at positions 473 to 909 of the family's 1533-position model. Lineage: Bacteria; Bacillati; Actinomycetota; Actinomycetes. The record is from RNAcentral.